This 301-nucleotide ribosomal RNA is filed under the name uncultured bacterium. Its description in RNAcentral is "partial 16S ribosomal RNA". It matches the Rfam family "Bacterial small subunit ribosomal RNA", at positions 509 to 807 of the family's 1533-position model. The record is from RNAcentral.
CAGCCGCCGCGGUAAUACGUAGGUGGCAAGCGUUGUCCGGAUUUAUUGGGCGUAAAGCGAGCGCAGGCGGUUUCUUAAGUCUGAUGUGAAAGCCCCCGGCUCAACCGGGGAGGGUCAUUGGAAACUGGGAGACUUGAGUGCAGAAGAGGAGAGUGGAAUUCCAUGUGUAGCGGUGAAAUGCGUAGAUAUAUGGAGGAACACCAGUGGCGAAGGCGGCUCUCUGGUCUGUAACUGACGCUGAGGCUCGAAAGCGUGGGGAGCGAACAGGAUUAGAUACCCCUGUAGUCCCUGUCUCUUAUAC